Cyprinus carpio (common carp) is the source of this 242-nucleotide long non-coding RNA. RefSeq lists it as uncharacterized. The transcript has 3 exons. Lineage: Eukaryota; Metazoa; Chordata; Actinopteri; Cypriniformes; Cyprinidae. The record is from RefSeq and is a predicted model, not a curated record.
UGUUUUGGGUGGGGGAGAUAAAGGGGCACCGAUAUAAUGGCCCCGUUCUCUCUGCACACACAUCCAUUGUGCUAACCCGCUUGGAAACGCUCCACCAUGGAGUGGCUUUUCAUUGCCGUGGCAACCUGCUUGCUAGCCCUCUGUCCUGUCAAAGGUGAUGAGUGGAGGCUGGAAUAUGAAGAAGGACUCAGUCACUAUAGUGAGGAAGCACUUAGAAAGGAGUUUCCUGAGAAGACCAGGCC